This 662-nucleotide ribosomal RNA is filed under the name Basidiomycota sp. 4 RB-2011. Its description in RNAcentral is "eukaryotic LSU rRNA". The stretch from base 247 to 401 matches the Rfam family "5.8S ribosomal RNA". Lineage: Eukaryota; Fungi; Basidiomycota. The record is from RNAcentral.
UCUUGGUCAUUUAGAGGAAGUAAAAGUCGUAACAAGGUUUCCGUAGGUGAACCUGCGGAAGGAUCAUUAUCGAAUGUUAAACAUGGGGAUGUUGCUGACUUAUCCAUAUGGAUGGGUAGUGUGCACUCCUCUAAAAUGUUCAAAUCCACCUGUGCACAUUGAGUAGGCAAAACAGAUUGAGUUCUGUGGGGCCUAUGUUAUAUAUAAUCCUGUGAAAGAUGGUAUAAACAAUGAAAAUGAUAUUACAACUUUCAACAAUGGAUCUCUUGGUUCUCGCAUCGAUGAAGAACGCAGCGAAUUGCGAUAUGUAAUGUGAAUUGCAGAAUUCAGUGAAUCAUCGAAUCUUUGAACGCAUCUUGCGCCCUUUGGCUAUUCUGAAGGGCAUGCCUGUUUGAGAGUCAUUAUUAUUCUCAAACUUCAGAGUUUUUGUGGACUCUGAAGCUUUGGAUAUGGAGGACUAUUGCUGGCAAAUUUGUGUUGCUGGCUCCUCUCAAAUGCAUUAGCGGAACUGUCAAUGUCUUGGCUCUGGUUUGAUACAUAUCUAUGCCAUUGCUGAGGAGCUUUCAUGGUUCAGCUUAUAAACCCCCCCUUUGUCUCCGAAAACUUGACCUCAAAUCAGGUAGGACUACCCGCUGAACUUAAGCAUAUCAAUAAGCGGAGGA